GACGAACGCUGGCGGCGUGCUUAACACAUGCAAGUCGAACGGUAAGGCCCUUCGGGGUACACGAGUGGCGAACGGGUGAGUAACACGUGGGUGAUCUGCCCUGCACUUCGGGAUAAGCCUGGGAAACUGGGUCUAAUACCGGAUAGGACCACUGCCUGCAUGGGUGGUGGUGGAAAGCUUUUGCGGUGUGGGAUGGGCCCGCGGCCUAUCAGCUUGUUGGUGGGGUGAUGGCCUACCAAGGCGACGACGGGUAGCCGGCCUGAGAGGGUGACCGGCCACACUGGGACUGAGAUACGGCGCGGACUCCUACGGGAGGCAGCAGUGGGGAAUAUUGCACAAUGGGCGCAAGCCUGAUGCAGCGACGCCGCGUGAGGGAUGACGGCCUUCGGGUUGUAAACCUCUUUCAGCACCGACGAAGCGCAAGUGACGGUAGGUGCAGAAGAAGGACCGGCCAACUACGUGCCAGCCGCCGCGGUAA
This 478-nucleotide ribosomal RNA is filed under the name uncultured bacterium. RNAcentral describes it as "partial 16S ribosomal RNA". It matches the Rfam family "Bacterial small subunit ribosomal RNA", at positions 28 to 523 of the family's 1533-position model. The record is from RNAcentral.